UACAGAGGGUGCAAGCGUUGUCCGGAAUGACUGGGUGUAAAGGGUGCGUAGGUGGCCUUGUAAGUUAAAUGUGAAAGCCCGCAGCUCAACUGCGGAACUGCAUUUAAUACUGUGAGGCUUUGAGUGCAGGAGAGGUAAGUGGAAUUCCUAGUGUAGCGGUGGAAUGCGUAGAGAUCUGGAGGAAUACCGAUGGCGAAGGCAGCCGUCUGGCCUAAUACUGACACUGAGGUGCGAAAGCAUGGGGAGCAAACAGG
This 254-nucleotide ribosomal RNA is filed under the name uncultured bacterium. RNAcentral describes it as "partial 16S ribosomal RNA". It matches the Rfam family "Bacterial small subunit ribosomal RNA", at positions 524 to 776 of the family's 1533-position model. The record is from RNAcentral.